This 223-nucleotide long non-coding RNA is filed under the name Lathyrus oleraceus (garden pea). RNAcentral's name for it is "Pisum sativum (pea) long non-coding RNA (PSAT_LNC015776)". Lineage: Eukaryota; Viridiplantae; Streptophyta; Magnoliopsida; Fabales; Fabaceae. The record is from RNAcentral.
UCACCUUCUUUGUUGGAGAACUCAUACUACUAAGAUGAGAAGAAGAGUUGACUGAAAAUAUGAGAAGUACGUCUCUGAUAGUGUGUUUUUAUAGAGGAAGUUGAGUGUCUUGUACGUUGUAUUUUGGAAGAUGGAACAUCCGAUCAUUUAAUGCAUGCAAUGAUGACUUCUGAGGGUUUAUACUUUUGAAAGACGUAUGACACCUUGAGACACGUAGAAAUAG